UACGGAGGGCGCGAGCGUUGCUCGGAUUUACUGGGCGUAAAGCGCGCGCAGGAGGUUAGAUAAGUCAGAGGUGAAAUCCCUUUGCUCAACGAAGGAACUGCAUUUGAUACUGUCGAGCUCGAGUACCGGAGGGGGGAGCGGAACUCUCGGUGUAGCGGUGAAAUGCGUGGAUAUCGGGAAGAACACCGGUGGCGAAGGCGGCUUCCUGGCCGGGACCUGACUCUCAUGUGCGAAAGCUAGGGGAGCGAACGGG
RNAcentral lists this ribosomal RNA (253 nucleotides) under uncultured bacterium. RNAcentral's name for it is "partial 16S ribosomal RNA". It matches the Rfam family "Bacterial small subunit ribosomal RNA", at positions 524 to 776 of the family's 1533-position model. The record is from RNAcentral.